RNAcentral lists this ribosomal RNA (253 nucleotides) under uncultured archaeon. RNAcentral's name for it is "partial 16S ribosomal RNA". It matches the Rfam family "Archaeal small subunit ribosomal RNA", at positions 474 to 727 of the family's 1478-position model. The record is from RNAcentral.
UCCCAGCAGUCCAAGUCGCAACCACAUUUGUUGGGUCUAAAACAUCCGUAGCUUGCUAAGUAAGUCUCUUGUGAAAUCCCGCCUCUUAAGGGUGGACGUGCAAGAGAUACUACUUAGCUAGAGACCGGGAGGCGUAAUGAGUACGUAUGGGGGAGCGGUAAAAUGUGUUGAUCCUGUACGGACUAACAGUCGCGAAGGCGCGUUACGAGCACGGAUCUGACAGUGAGGGAUGAAGGCUAGGGGCGCAAAGUGG